GACGAACGCUGGCGGCGUGCCUAAUACAUGCAAGUCGAGCGGACGAAUCGAAAGCUUGCUUUUGAUUCGUUAGCGGCGGACGGGUGAGUAACACGUGGGCAACCUGCCCUGUAGACGGGGAUAACACCGAGAAAUCGGUGCUAAUACCGGAUAACACGAAAUGUCGCAUGACGUUUCGUUGAAAGACGGCGCAAGCUGCCGCUACAGGAUGGGCCCGCGGCGCAUUAGCUAGUUGGUGAGGUAACGGCUCACCAAGGCGACGAUACGUAGCCGACCUGAGAGGGUGAUCGGCCACACUGGGACUGAGACACGGCCCAGACUCCUACGGGAGGCAGCAGUAGGGAAUCUUCCGCAAUGGAUGAAAGUCUGACGGAGCAACGCCGCGUGAGCGAAGAAGGCCUUCGGGUCGUAAAGCUCUGUUGUUAGGGAAGAACAAGUAACGCAGUAACUGGCGUUACCGUGACGGUACCUAACGAGAAAGCCACGGCUAACUACGUG
Molecule: ribosomal RNA, 498 nt
Filed under: uncultured bacterium
Lineage: Bacteria
Description: partial 16S ribosomal RNA
Rfam family: Bacterial small subunit ribosomal RNA
Source: RNAcentral